This 494-nucleotide ribosomal RNA is filed under the name uncultured bacterium. RNAcentral describes it as "bacterial SSU rRNA". It matches the Rfam family "Bacterial small subunit ribosomal RNA", at positions 30 to 507 of the family's 1533-position model. The record is from RNAcentral.
UGAACGCUAGCUACAGGCUUAACACAUGCAAGUCGAGGGGCAGCAUGGUCUUAGCUUGCUAAGGCCGAUCGGGCGACCGGCGCACGGGUGAGUAACACGUAUCCAACCUGCCGUCUACNCUUUGGACAGCCUUCUGAAAAGGGAAGAUUAAUACAAGAUGGCAUCAUGAGUCCGCAUGUUCACAUGAUUAAAGGUAUUCCGGUAGACGAUGGGGAUGCGUUCCAUUAGAUAGUAGGCGGGGUAACGGCCCACCUAGUCUUCGAUGGAUAGGGGGUUCUGAGAGGAAGGUCCCCCACAUUGGAACUGAGACACGGUCCAAACUCCUACGGGAGGCAGCAGUGAGGAAUAUUGGUCAAUGGGCGAGAGCCUGAACCAGCCAAGUAGCGUGAAGGAUGACUGCCCUAUGGGUUGUAAACUUCUUUUAUAAAGGAAUAAAGUCGGGUAUGCAUACCCGUUUGCAUGUACUUUAUGAAUAAGGAUCGGCUAACUCCGUG